CCUACGGGUGGCUGCAGUCGAGGAUCUUCGGCAAUGGGCGCAAGCCUGACCGAGCGACGCCGCGUGUGCGACGAAGGCCUUCGGGUUGUAAAGCACUGUCGAGGGGGAGAAAGCCGCGAGGUUGAUCGAUCCCUGGAGGAAGCACGGGCUAAGUUCGUGCCAGCAGCCGCGGUAAGACGAACCGUGCGAACGUUGUUCGGAAUCACUGGGCUUAAAGGGCGCGUAGGCGGCUGCUCAAGUCCGGGGUGAAAGCCCCCCGCUCAACGGGGGAAGGG
Molecule: ribosomal RNA, 275 nt
Filed under: uncultured bacterium
Lineage: Bacteria
Description: partial 16S ribosomal RNA
Rfam family: Bacterial small subunit ribosomal RNA
Source: RNAcentral